Molecule: ribosomal RNA, 465 nt
Filed under: uncultured Veillonella sp.
Lineage: Bacteria; Bacillati; Bacillota; Negativicutes; Veillonellales; Veillonellaceae
Description: bacterial SSU rRNA
Rfam family: Bacterial small subunit ribosomal RNA
Source: RNAcentral
CCUACGUGUGGCAGCAGUGGGGAAUCUUCCGCAAUGGACGAAAGUCUGACGGAGCAACGCCGCGUGAGUGAUGACGGCCUUCGGGUUGUAAAGCUCUGUUAAUCGGGACGAAAGGCCUUCUUGCGAAUAGUGAGAAGGAUUGACGGUACCGGAAUAGAAAGCCACGGCUAACUACGUGCCAGCGGCCGCGGUAAUACGUAGGUGGCAAGCGUUGUCCGGAAUUAUUGGGCGUAAAGCGCGCGCAGGCGGAUCGGUCAGUCUGUCUUAAAAGUUCGGGGCUUAACCCCGUGAUGGGAUGGAAACUGCCAAUCUAGAGUAUCGGAGAGGAAAGUGGAAUUCCUAGUGUAGCGGUGAAAUGCGUAGAUAUUAGGAAGACCACCAGUGGCGAAGGCGACUUUCUGGACGAAAACUGACGCUGAGGCGCGAUAGCCAGGGGAGCGAACGGGAUUAGAUACCCUUGUAGUC